AAAGGUAGAUUUAGCUGAUUGAAAGCUAUCAAUUCUCCUGCCAAAUCAUCACCACACCAUUUCAACUCUAUCAGGACAAAUAUUCUUCAUUCACUCAAGCUAUAUAGAAAGGCAUUGUAUUCUAUUCCUUUUUCUUAUUUCUGCUUGUUUAUAUUUCAUCAGGAAACAUAACUUUCCCCUGUUUUCUUUAACAUUUCUCUAAUUGUUCCAAAUCUAAAAUCUUCAUUAUCAUAUACCACAACUUAUUCUUUUUCUCUUUGUAGGAAAGUGUCUUUUGGCUCUUUAAGGGGAUGUAAAAGGGCAAUAAAUUCAGUGGAUAUACACACAGAAAAUAAGUUUUCAAAUACAUAUUUCCUAUGAAUCUUUGUUUUCCAUAGAGAUUCCUCCUUAGUGUCACAACAGAGCCACAUUUUCCCAGAGCAGAAAAUCACAUCAGGAAUCCUCUGAUAAUGUUAUGAAGAUGCUUGUAUGUUUUAUAAACCAGACAACAAUUAUGCCGAGGAGUGGAUUUGCAGCCUGAGUCCUCCUGCUCCUUUUGGUGUAAAUUUGAUGAAAGGUUAACCUUAGGCAGGAGAGAAGGCAGAAAACCACACUAAGCACUUCUUAGCAGGCAGGGCAGAAAGAACACGGACAACAUUAGGAGCUCUUCUCAUCUGUGCCUAGCGAUGGGUGACAUAUGACACACCUGUUGAAUCUUUUGGGAACUGGAAGAAUGAAAAGUGGAUAACGUGAUGAUCAGGUGUUCAAGAGAGUGUUCAAGAGAGUUUCAGAUGUAAUCCAGGACACGCAUCAAUGCACUAGCUCCACAAAGAAUGACUUUCCCGAAUUCAUUUAUUCGUUCUAACAGUUUUUUGGCGGAGUCUUUAUGGAGGAAGUUGGGGCUUGCCCCGUGGCCAAGUGGUUAAGUUCACACUCUCUGCUGCAGGCGGCCCAGUGUUUCGUUGGUUCGAAUCCUGGGCACGGACAUGGCACUGCUCAUCAAACCACGCUGAGGCGGCGUCCCACAUGCCACAACUAGAAGGACCCACAACGAAGAAUAUACAACUAUGUACUGGGGGGCUUUGGGGAGAAAAAGGAAAAACUAAAAUCUUUAAAAAAAAAAUUAGGAAGAAGUUAAAGUUAUUUACAUAAUUCAUGUCAAACAUAAAUGUUCCUGGCUACAGAAUAAGUAAUUUUUUGUUUUGAUAAUUUAUACCAGUAUUUUUGUUGUUUGGUUAUAUAGUACAGCUUUGGUUGAGACUGAGUUACCACACUUGUUUUCAGGAACUAAAUAUGGAACAAUCAAAUAAUUCGUAAUCUUUAAUGUAAUUUUAGUUGAAAAAAUCAUUAAUGGUUUUAUCCAUAGGAUUUAUCAGAUACAAGUAACUACCAAACUCUAUUUCCUAUAGUGAUAUAUAGACCCAAUACUAAAUUUUACAAUAUGGACCUUGGAGUCAAGUGUAAAUUUUGUACUAAGUGCAUAGCUGUACAGGAUUCUUUAUCAACAAACUUGCUAUUGGUUUUGUAAAGUCCAGAAAAGAGAAUAUGUUCUUCUCCUAUAUCAUCUAUUAUUAUAUAUGGCCAGCCAAUUUCAAAUAUGGGAAACUAACUAUUUUUUGUGGCUUUAGAAGUUGUAUUGGUUAUGUUUCAUUUUUCAUGUGAAUGCUGACAUCAUCGUGAUCCUGCUACACAAACUGCUACCCUAAUUUCAAGCUCCAUUAGAAACAUGGGAAAUAUUGUAUUGCUUACAUUUAUAGAAUUGAGGAAAUACAGGGUUUCAAAUAAUAUAUAACAAAAUAAAGGGUAAUACUGUUCAGCUCUUGAAAUAUACAGAUUAUAUAUGUAAUGUAAUUUGCCUUUUCAUUAUUAUAUUUACAGUCCUUAGAAUUAAGUAAAUGUUCUAAAUAAAAUUAUUUUUUGAAAAUUUUCAGUGAUCAUUAUAUUUAGAAUCCCAGUAUUUUUGGUAAUAAUCCUGCACUUUGGGACAUAAAAAUAAUUUAAAAUAAAAGUUCACUUUUGAGUUCAAUAAUGAAUUGUUCAUGCGGAUGUAUCUCAGAAUGCAUAAUACAUUCUAGAGUGGGAAGAAGCUUAGACCAAAACUGUAAAAAUUAUAAUUCCUUUUAAGAUAUUUUCUACAAAAGUAUGUUUAUUCUUGAGCUGAUAACUUCCAAAUUUGCAACCCUCCAACCCUUACAUCUCACCUAAAGAUCAGAUUUUAAUAGAAAACCAGCAGCUUGUUAUCACUACAUAUGUUUCUGAUAGGUAUAUCAGACUGUGUGUGUCUAAACGGAAUUCUUGAU
RNAcentral lists this long non-coding RNA (2279 nucleotides) under Equus caballus (horse). RNAcentral's name for it is "lncRNA (ENSECAG00000058376.1)". Lineage: Eukaryota; Metazoa; Chordata; Mammalia; Perissodactyla; Equidae. The record is from RNAcentral.